RNAcentral lists this ribosomal RNA (549 nucleotides) under uncultured bacterium. Its description in RNAcentral is "bacterial SSU rRNA". It matches the Rfam family "Bacterial small subunit ribosomal RNA", at positions 355 to 896 of the family's 1533-position model. The record is from RNAcentral.
UGGGGAAUUUUGGACAAUGGGCGCAAGCCUGAUCCAGCCAUGCCGCGUGUCUGAAGAAGGCCUUCGGGUUGUAAAGGACUUUUGUCAGGGAAGAAAAGGACAGGGUUAAUACCUCUGUUUGAUGACGGUACCUGAAGAAUAAGCACCGGCUAACUACGUGCCAGCAGCCGCGGUAAUACGUAGGGUGCGAGCGUUAAUCGGAAUUACUGGGCGUAAAGCGAGCGCAGACGGUUACUUAAGCAGGAUGUGAAAUCCCCGGGCUCAACCUGGGAACUGCGUUCUGGACUGGGUGACUAGAGUGUGUCAGAGGGAGGUAGAAUUCCACGUGUAGCAGUGAAAUGCGUAGAGAUGUGGAGGAAUACCGAUGGCGAAGGCAGCCUCCUGGGAUAACACUGACGUUCAUGCUCGAAAGCGUGGGUAGCAAACAGGAUUAGAUACCCUGGUAGUCCACGCCCUAAACGAUGUCAAUUAGCUGUUGGGCAACUUGAUUGCUUAGUAGCGUAGCUAACGCGUGAAAUUGACCGCCUGGGGAGUACGGUCGCAAGAUUA